AGCUUCGGUUGGAUUGAGAGUGGCGCACGGGUGCGUAACGCGUAUGCGACCUACCUUGUACAGGGGGAUAGCCCGGAGAAAUUCGGAUUAAUAUCCCAUGGUAUCCUUUAGUGGCAUCACUUUAAGGAUUAAAGAUUUAUCGGUACAAGAUGGGCAUGCAUGACAUUAGUUAGUUGGUAGGGUAACGGCCUACCAAGACGAUGAUGUCUAGGGGUUCUGAGAGGAUGAUCCCCCACACUGGUACUGAGAUACGGACCAGACUCCUACGGGAGGCAGCAGUAGGGAAUAUUGGUCAAUGGGCGAGAGCCUGAACCAGCCAUGCCGCGUGCAGGAAGACGGCUUUCUGAGUUGUAAACUGCUUUUGUACGGGAAGAAAAAGGCCAUGCGUGGCAAAUUGCCGGUACCGUACGAAUAAGCACCGGCUAACUCCGUGCCAGCAGCCGCGGUAAUACGGAGGGUGCAAGCGUUGUCCGGAUUUAUUGGGUUUAAAGGGUGCGUAGGCGGAUCUUUAAGUCAGUGGUGAAAUCCUGCAGCUUAACUGUAGAACUGCCAUCGAAACUGGAGGUCUUGAGUAUACUAGAGGUAGGCGGAAUUUAUGGUGUAGCGGUGAAAUGCAUAGAUACCAUAAAGAACACCAAUAGCGUAGGCAGCUUACUGGAGUAUAACUGACGCUGAGGCACGAAAGCAUGGGUAGCGAACA
Molecule: ribosomal RNA, 700 nt
Filed under: uncultured bacterium
Lineage: Bacteria
Description: bacterial SSU rRNA
Rfam family: Bacterial small subunit ribosomal RNA
Source: RNAcentral